RNAcentral lists this ribosomal RNA (38 nucleotides) under Ceratobasidium sp. TAR-2006a. RNAcentral's name for it is "partial 5.8S ribosomal RNA". Lineage: Eukaryota; Fungi; Basidiomycota; Agaricomycetes; Cantharellales; Ceratobasidiaceae. The record is from RNAcentral.
ACGUUUCAACAACGGAUCUCUUGGCUCUCGCAUCGAUG